AUUGAACGCUGGCGGCAGGCCUAACACAUGCAAGUCGAACGAGUGGCGGACGGGUGAGUAAUGUCUGGGAAAUUGCCUGAUGGAGGGGGAUAACUACUGGAAACGGUAGCUAAUACCGCAUACCAUCAGAUGUGCCCAGAUGGGCGUGGCUUGUUGGUGGGGUAACGGCUCACCAAGGCGACGAUCCCUAGUUGGUCUGAGAGGAUGACCAGGCACACUGGAACUGAGACACGGUCCCGGCGCCUACGGGAGGCAGCAGUGGGGAAUAUUGCACAAUGGGCGCAAGCCUGAUGCAACCAUGCCGCGUGUAUGAAGAAGGCCUUCGGGUUGUAAAGUACUUUCAACGGGGAGGCGUUACCCGCAGAAGAAGGACCGGCAAACUCCGUGCCGGCAGCCGCGGUAGUUC
Molecule: ribosomal RNA, 406 nt
Filed under: uncultured bacterium
Lineage: Bacteria
Description: partial 16S ribosomal RNA
Rfam family: Bacterial small subunit ribosomal RNA
Source: RNAcentral